RNAcentral lists this ribosomal RNA (253 nucleotides) under uncultured bacterium. RNAcentral's name for it is "partial 16S ribosomal RNA". It matches the Rfam family "Bacterial small subunit ribosomal RNA", at positions 524 to 776 of the family's 1533-position model. The record is from RNAcentral.
UACGAAGGGUGCUAGCGUUGUUCGGAAUUACUGGGCGUAAAGCGCGCGUAGGCGGCUUUUCAAGUCAGGGGUGAAAUCCCACAGCUUAACUGUGGAACUGCCUUUGAAACUGUAAAGCUUGAGUGUCGGAGGGGAUAGCGGAAUUGCUAAUGUAGAGGUGAAAUUCGUAGAUAUUAGCAGGAACACCGGUGGCGAAGGCGGCUAUCUGGACGACAACUGACGCUGAGGCGCGAAAGCGCGGGGAUCAAACAGG